RNAcentral lists this ribosomal RNA (904 nucleotides) under uncultured archaeon. RNAcentral's name for it is "bacterial SSU rRNA". It matches the Rfam family "Archaeal small subunit ribosomal RNA", at positions 1 to 923 of the family's 1478-position model. The record is from RNAcentral.
UUCCGGUUGAUCCUGCCGGAGGCGACCGCUUUGGGAGUUCGAUUAAGCCAUGCGAGUCGUGAGUCUUAGGGACUCGGCAUACUGCUCAGUAACACGUGGAUAACCUGCCCUAUCGUCUGGAAUAACCUCGGGAAACUGAGAAUAAGGCCGGAUAGUUCACAAUGCCUGGAACGGUUUGUGAAUCAAGGUAGGAUGGGUCUGCGGCGUAUCAGGUCGUAGGGGGUGUAAUGGACCUCCUAGCCAUCGACGCGUACGGGUUGUGGGAGCAAUAGCCCGGAGACGGAUUCUGAGACACGAAUCCGGACCCUACGGGGUGCAGCAGGCGCGAAAACUUCACACUGCAGGAAACUGUGAUGAGGGAACUCCAAGUGACUGCACAAUGUGUAGUCUUUUCUUGAAUCUUAAUAGUUCUUGGAAUAAGGGCUGGGAAAGACCGGUGCCAGCCGCCGCGGUAAUACCGGCAGCUCAAGUGGUCGUCGCUUUUAUUGGGCCUAAAACGUCCGUAGCCUGUUUGGUAAAUCUGUGGGUAAAUCAACGAGCUUAACUCGUUGAAUUCUGCAGAGACUGCCAGACUAGGGACCGGGAGAGGUAUGAGGUACUCUGGGGGUAGGGGUAAAAUCCUGUCAUCCUCAGAGGACCACCUGUUGCGAAGGCGUCAUACUGGAACGGAUCCGACGGUCAGGGACGAAGCCUAGGGGCACGAACCGGAUUAGAUACCCGGGUAGUCCUAGGUGUAAACGCUGUGGAUUUGGUGUGUGGGGUCCGCAAUGGGCCCCAUGUGCCGGAGUGAAGAUGUUAAAUCCACUGCCUGGGGAGUACGGUCGCAAGGCUGAACUUAAAGGAAUUUGUCGGGGGAGCACUGCAACGGGAGGAGCGUGCGGUUUAAUUGGAUUCAACGCCGGGA